This 256-nucleotide ribosomal RNA is filed under the name uncultured bacterium. Its description in RNAcentral is "partial 16S ribosomal RNA". It matches the Rfam family "Bacterial small subunit ribosomal RNA", at positions 793 to 1055 of the family's 1533-position model. The record is from RNAcentral.
GUCCACGCCGUAAACGAUGGAUACUAGCUGUUUGUAGCAAUCUGAGUGGCUAACCGAAAGUGAUAAGUAUCCCACCUGGGGAGUACGCUCGCAAGAGUGAAACUCAAAAGGAAUUGACGGGGGCCCGCACAAGCGGAGGAGCAUGUGGUUUAAUUCGAUGAUACGCGAGGAACCUUACCAAGGCUUAAAUGGGAGACGACAGAUUUAGAAAUAGAUCUUUCUUCGGACGUCUUUCAAGGUGCUGCAUGGUUGUCGU